CCCUCCCCAAUCUAAUUUUCCCGCUCAAAAUUUCUUAGUGAAAUUCCGCAUUUGCCCUUACAGUCAAACAUAUACUCCUUCUUUUCAGUAGUUUCAAAUCGAUAUUUUCCAAAAAAAAAAUAGCAAGAAAUUUGGGAACAUUCUCUUGUUCAACCGUUUCUUCUACAAUUUCUCCAAUAUUUUUGUAAACCAAAUCAGUGCUUCAAAUUUUAAAAUACAUCAAAUCCCUAAAUCUUGGUGAUAUUGUUUAUAAUUAAAACGACAUGCAGUUUCCCUGGCCUAAAUCACUUUAAAGGAGACUACCACCACCACAACCUACAAUGUAUCGAACCUUUAUCUGUAAGAAGAUCGGAGCGUCUUUUAUCUUCCCACACCAUCAUCAGUUAAAAUAAUGUGUACACAUUCGUUUUUAGUGACCCUUUCCCUGGUAUUGCUCAGAUCAGAAUAUAAUGCAACAUGGUGAGGAUGUUGGAAAAAUCACCAUGGUUGUUCGAAGGUGAAAUGCUUGACAAUUCGAAGGCAUACUAAGUCACUUCAAGCUGCCUAAGCAAUUCAUACAUGUUUUCAAAGAUUGUUUAUCUGUUAAUAGGUUAUUACUUUUCAUCCUUAAUCAAAAUGUAUUCAAUCUCAUAAUGUAGUUGUGUUUCUGUAUCUUUCAAGGAUUGAUUUUGAGGAUGAGAAUUUAUUUUUUAUAUUUUCUAGGAAUGAAAUUGUGGAUCUUAAUGAAUUGGGAAAUGAAUCCAUUGUUGAGGUAUUGUCCUUACUCUA
Lactuca sativa (garden lettuce) is the source of this 768-nucleotide long non-coding RNA. RefSeq lists it as uncharacterized. Lineage: Eukaryota; Viridiplantae; Streptophyta; Magnoliopsida; Asterales; Asteraceae. The record is from RefSeq and is a predicted model, not a curated record.